UUAUAAGAGACAGCAGUCGCCACGGGAAUACGUAGGUGGCAAGCGUUGUCCGGAAUUAUUGGACGUAAAGGGCUCGCAGGCGGUUUCUUAAGUCUGAUGUGAAAGCCCCCGGCUCAACCGGGGAGGGUCAUUGGAAACUGGGAAACUUGAGUGCAGAAGAGGAGAGUGGAAUUCCACGUGUAGCGGCGAAAUGCGUAGAGAUGUGGAGGAACACCAGUGGCGAAGGCGACUCUCUGGUCUGUAACUGACGCUGAGGAGCGAAAGCGUGGGGAGCGAACAGGAUUAGAUACCCGCGUAGUCCCUGUCUCUUAUAC
RNAcentral lists this ribosomal RNA (314 nucleotides) under uncultured bacterium. Its description in RNAcentral is "partial 16S ribosomal RNA". It matches the Rfam family "Bacterial small subunit ribosomal RNA", at positions 499 to 807 of the family's 1533-position model. The record is from RNAcentral.